UGUACCACCUAUGCAGGCCCCAACAGUGAGCUUAGGGCAUUUUCUUUACCUGAUCAAUUCUCACUGUAGGUGGUACCUUUUGCGUAGAGCCUGAGAGAAUCAUGAAAAUGUUGCAGACAAAGUGGGAGCAGAGAACUGGAUA
This 142-nucleotide small nucleolar RNA is filed under the name Cavia porcellus (domestic guinea pig). RNAcentral's name for it is "small Cajal body-specific RNA 17 (ENSCPOG00000028537.2)". Lineage: Eukaryota; Metazoa; Chordata; Mammalia; Rodentia; Caviidae. The record is from RNAcentral.